This 275-nucleotide ribosomal RNA is filed under the name uncultured bacterium. Its description in RNAcentral is "partial 16S ribosomal RNA". It matches the Rfam family "Bacterial small subunit ribosomal RNA", at positions 338 to 610 of the family's 1533-position model. The record is from RNAcentral.
CCUACGGGUGGCUGCAGUGAGGAAUAUUGGACAAUGGGCGGAAGCCUGAUCCAGCCAUGCCGCGUGCAGGAUGACGGUCCUAUGGAUUGUAAACUGCUUUUGUACAGGAAGAAACCCUUCUUUGCGAAGAAGAUUGACGGUACUGUAAGAAUAAGGAUCGGCUAACUCCGUGCCAGCAGCCGCGGUAAUACGGAGGAUCCAAGCGUUAUCCGGAAUCAUUGGGUUUAAAGGGUCCGUAGGCGGUUUAAUAAGUCAGUGGUGAAAUACCUUCGCUC